CCCUCCCUUCCUUCCUUCCUUCCUUCCUUCCUUCCUUCUUUUCUUUUGUUCCUCUUUCCCUUAUGUUUUACUAUUUAUUACAUAUUGUUUUCCUGGUCUUUUCCUGCUUCUCUGAAUUCUCAAUAACUUUUUUAAAUGGCUGUAAUAGAGUGUAUUUGAUAGUAUAAGAGAGAGAAAGAAUGGAGUCCUCUCCCCGUCAAGGCAAGGCAAAGGAGGCAAUCUGAUACUGAAGUUUGACCAGGAAAGAGAAGGAGGAAUUCUGCAAGGGAAGCUCCCAGCCUUGAGCCCCGAACAUGGAAGUCUCCAGGAAUCCUGAUGGUCUGUCAGUUUUUUAAUGCAAAACUCAGGAAAGUUCACGGACGCUACGUUGCACAAUCCGAAGAAGAUAAAUCACAGUUACUUCCAGCCAGUUGACAGCAGUUUAAGCAGCUGCAAUCAUCAACCACCAAGGGAGUUUCUUCUUUUAUCUUACUAAAUGCAAAAAGUAUCCCUGAAAUUGGCAAUAUCGCCGCACUCUCCACCGGCCCAGCUUUUUACAUAAAUAUCCGCGAGCAGUAAGUAAAUUCUGUUGACGAAAUGUAAUAAAACAAAGACUGUUUCAAA
Long non-coding RNA from Monodelphis domestica (gray short-tailed opossum), 603 nucleotides. RefSeq lists it as uncharacterized. The record is from RefSeq and is a predicted model, not a curated record. NCBI's taxonomy places the organism in Eukaryota, Metazoa, Chordata, Mammalia, Didelphimorphia, Didelphidae.